CAUGGGUAUAUAGCGCGAGGAGCGGCGCCGAUUGCAUUUACGGGCGCUCGCCUCGCGCACACACAUGUGUAUGCACACAUCUCUCCGCUGCUGCUGGCUGCCGGGGGCUGCGUUUUCUCUCUGUUGCUGCAGCGCCGAAAGAGAGAGAGAGAGAGAGAGAGAGAGAAAGGUGCACCGCAUAUAGUCAGUUUUUCCUUCUCUCGCAGUCGCUCCGCUCUGCUUGAUAUGUUAACCCAGUGUGCGAUGCAUGUAUAUGUAUUGUACGCAUGUAUAUGAGCGAGAGAAAGAAAAACUUAAACAGCUAACAAGUGGCAGCCAUCUUUGUGUGUAAGAUGGCGCCACCACAGCCGUUUCGCGGAAGAAACGACGACUCGGGGAUUUUCGCACACACAUAUCUUACUAUCCUUUUUCGCGUCUCUACAGCUCUGCAACUGACCCUUCUGCUAAUAUUCCUACAAUAUGUGCCACUGUUUGUAUAGUUGCGGGCACAAAGGAGAUAAGUUUUAUUUCAUAUUACAAAUAUUCUUCUAUGGCCUAUCUCGUCGUUUUCCUCCGCGAUUUCGGCGAUUUUUUUUUAGCCUAUACGAGAGAGAAUCAGGUGCAACGACCUGAUGAUGAUGCCGCAAUUAUAUUUGCAUGAUUGUCGUCGCCGUUGCGGAAUGUGGCGCGCGGAAUUUCGAUGAUUUUCGAAAGUGACAUUGCUAUAAAUUAUGGGCUGCGCUAUAUUUGGAUUUUUAUCCUCGUUCUAAAAAAGCGUGUACAGCUGCGAUUUUAGGAAGAAAGUGCUAAUAUGCUCGUAUUAAUUUAUGGCUAGCGCAUAUGUCGAUAUAGCACAUAUGCGCUGCGCAGUGCAAAAUGGUAUAAGAAUUUUUUCAUAUAACGCAAAAAUUCAGCGGUAAAUGCUAGCUUAUCAAUAAUUGGUCAGCUUCUAUUGAUGAUAAGGUAGACAUUUCGUUUCUCGACAGCUAUAGGUAUAUACGCUGUAUGUUCGCGCGCGGGAUGGAAAUUUCAAAUUUGUAAGAUAGCUGGAGACCAUUAUGAACAAUAAAAUGCCAUUACAAUGAAUCCAAUCAAUCUUAAAAAUCUAUAAUAUUUGUUUUUAAUUAUGCAAGUAUAGAUAUUAAAGGCAACAUAAAUCAUAUUGGUUUGGAGUCAGUAAUAAUGCAAAUCUAGAAUUAUAGCGAUAUUAGAAAAUUAAAUUUACAACCAUUAAAUCUGAAGAUUCUUAUACACGUAAGUUAACUCAUGAUUGUCUUAUUUUCAAAUAGUUACAAAAAUAUUGUACAUGCAGGCUAGCAUUAUAAAUAAAUAGAAAAUCAAUCAAAUCGAUCUCUGUGAUAAGACGCAUGCCAUGGUGACUGGUGGUCCUCUUGUUGCCGAUGGCGUUCAAGUUGGUAUCGUAUCGUUUGGUAGUCCUUGUGCUCGCGGAAAGCCCGAUAUCUUUACAAGAAUUUACACUUUCAUUGGCUGGAUGAAGGAAAAAAUGUCUCAAUUUUAAAAUGUUCGACCCUUUACAAGUAAAUCAAAAAUUGAAUAAAAAGUAUUUUUUAUUUUAA
RNAcentral lists this long non-coding RNA (1556 nucleotides) under Nasonia vitripennis (jewel wasp). RNAcentral's name for it is "uncharacterized LOC116417737". The record is from RNAcentral. Lineage: Eukaryota; Metazoa; Arthropoda; Insecta; Hymenoptera; Pteromalidae.